AAACCGGCUCUUUUCAGAGCCACCAUAUUAAUAUCAAGAGAGUCU
Aedes aegypti (yellow fever mosquito) is the source of this 45-nucleotide non-coding RNA. NCBI's taxonomy places the organism in Eukaryota, Metazoa, Arthropoda, Insecta, Diptera, Culicidae. The record is from Rfam.